Olea europaea var. sylvestris is the source of this 290-nucleotide long non-coding RNA. RefSeq lists it as uncharacterized. The record is from RefSeq and is a predicted model, not a curated record. NCBI's taxonomy places the organism in Eukaryota, Viridiplantae, Streptophyta, Magnoliopsida, Lamiales, Oleaceae. The transcript is spliced from 2 exons.
GGGAUAUGAAUCCAGCUCUGGAGGUGGCUGUUGCAGUAGGCUUUCGUGUUGGAAUAGAAGCAGACCUUGCAGAAGGGAGAAGGCUAAACAACACACCCCAACGUGCCGGUGCACAAGUGGACGAUAUUCGUGGAGUAGUAGGAUUUUGAGUUUCAACUGAUUGCUCAUAUUUUCUUACAAUUACUUUUCUAUAUCCGUAGGCUUAACAUCACCAUUUUCUGGAAAAGAAUAGAAGUUAAAGGAUCGAUGAAAUAAACGAUUAUUUAAAAUUACUAUAUUUUGAAUUUGAA